CCUACGGGAGGCAGCAGUGGGGAAUAUUGCACAAUGGGCGAAAGCCUGAUGCAGCGACGCCGCGUGAGGGAUGACGGCCUUCGGGUUGUAAACCUCCUUCAGCAGGGAAGAAGCGCAAGUGACGGUACCUGCAGAAGAAGCACCGGCUAACUACGUGCCAGCAGCCGUGGUAAUACGUAGGGUGCGAGCGUUGUCCGGAAUUAUUGGGCGUAAAGAGCUCGUAGGCGGCUUGUCACGUCGGAUGUGAAAGCUCGGGGCUUAACCCCGAGUCUGCAUUCGAUACGGGCUAGCUAGAGUGUGGUAGGGGAGAUCGGAAUUCCUGGUGUAGCGGUGAAAUGCGCAGAUAUCAGGAGGAACACCGGUGGCGAAGGCGGAUCUCUGGGCCAUUACUGACGCUGAGGAGCGAAAGCGUGGGGAGCGAACAGGAUUAGAUACCCUGGUAGUCCACGCCGUAAACGUUGGGAACUAGGUGUUGGCGACAUUCCACGUCGUCGGUGCCGCAGCUACGCAUAGUUACCCGUCCGUCGGGAGGUACGGCCGCGACGGACGUAAACUUAAAUAGAAGUUAGUACGGCGUGAGACGUGCCGAACGGACGACCGACGAGGGGAGGUAGG
Molecule: ribosomal RNA, 615 nt
Filed under: uncultured bacterium
Lineage: Bacteria
Description: bacterial SSU rRNA
Rfam family: Bacterial small subunit ribosomal RNA (bases 1-522)
Source: RNAcentral